RNAcentral lists this ribosomal RNA (305 nucleotides) under uncultured bacterium. RNAcentral's name for it is "bacterial SSU rRNA". It matches the Rfam family "Bacterial small subunit ribosomal RNA", at positions 337 to 635 of the family's 1533-position model. The record is from RNAcentral.
GCCUACGGGGGGCAGCAGUAGGGAAUUUUCGUCAAUGGGCGCAAGCCUGAACGAGCAAUGCCGCGUGAACGAGGAAGGUCUUCGGAUCGUAAAGUUCUGUUGUAGGGGAAAAAGAGCGGAGAGAGGAAAUGGUCUCCGAUUGAUAUUACCCUUCGAGGAAGUCACGGCUAACUACGUGCCAGCAGCCGCGGUAAUACGUAGGUGGCGAGCGUUAUCCGGAAUGAUUGGGCGUAAAGGGUGCGUAGGCGGCCUGCUAAGUCUGGAGUGAAAGGUACCGGCUCAACCGGUACAGGCUCUGGAAACUG